RNAcentral lists this long non-coding RNA (463 nucleotides) under Fukomys damarensis (Damara mole-rat). RNAcentral's name for it is "lncRNA (ENSFDAG00000025272.1)". Lineage: Eukaryota; Metazoa; Chordata; Mammalia; Rodentia; Bathyergidae. The record is from RNAcentral.
AUGAGCGUUAGAGGUCCUGACGGUCACCAUGUAAGGCGGCAGCCUCUGAGCAGAGCGGGAAAGCGACGGAGAGCAUGGGCUUGGCGUCAGCACAGUCACAGCCCGCGGAGCCCUCUUAGUGAGCUCGGAGGAAGAGCGACGGUGCUCCCCUGGUGUCCUUCAGAGAAGAGUUUCUGCAUUGAUACGCAUGGGUCUGGCCCAGUCUUCUCACAGGUGGACAACAUUCCCAGGUACGGAUGCAGGCUUCACUUCACUGACCGCUGGGUUUUCCGUGGUUCUCGAGGCCAGUUGGCCUGACUCAGCUUUGCCCACGUGCCAGCAUGAGAGAUGCUAAGAAGGCGUUCGUGGGUUAAGGUCUUUCCGGCGCUCGUGGGCAUUUCUUGACUGCCAGCAGCAAGACAGGAGCAGGGUAAGUUCCCACCCUCAGUGCAGGGAAAGUAAGUCCCCAUCCUCUUCUCAAUAC